RNAcentral lists this ribosomal RNA (1622 nucleotides) under Pelecanus occidentalis. RNAcentral's name for it is "16S ribosomal RNA". It matches the Rfam family "Bacterial large subunit ribosomal RNA". Lineage: Eukaryota; Metazoa; Chordata; Aves; Pelecaniformes; Pelecanidae. The record is from RNAcentral.
AGCCAACCUCUAGCCCAACCACACCACUACAAUAUAAAACACCCAAAAAUUCACUUAAUGACUAAACUAAAACAUUCUUCUACUUAGUAUAGGUGAUAGAAAAGUACCCAUCACUGGCGCGAUAGAGGCCUGUACCGCAAGGGAACGAUGAAAUAACAAUGAAAACCUAAGCAACAGACAGCAAAGAUAAACCCUUGUACCUUUUGCAUCAUGAUUUAGCAAGAACAACCAAGCAAAACGAAUUUAAGCUUGCCUCCCCGAAACCCAAGCGAGCUACUCACAAGCAGCUAUUCCUUGAGCGAACCCGUCUCUGUUGCAAAAGAGUGGGAUGACUUGUUAGUAGAGGUGAAAAGCCAAUCGAGCUGGGUGAUAGCUGGUUGCCUGCCAAAUGAAUCUAAGUUCCACCUUGACCCUCCCCAAAUGACCAUAACCUAGCCCUCAUGUGAUGAGUCAAGGGCAGUUUAAAGGGGGUACAGCCCCUUUAAAAAAGAGCACAAUCUCUCCUAGCGGAUAACCCUUACCCCCUCCCAAGUUGUAGGCCCUUAAGCAGCCACCCAUAAAGAGUGCGUCAAAGCUCAACACUAAAAAAUCCGAAAACAACCUGACUCCCUUACCACUAACAGGCCAACCUAUAACAAUAGGAGAACUACUGCUAAAAUAAGUAACCCGGGGCAACCCUCUAGAGCGCGACGUUACACCACCAUGUUAUUAACAGACCAUGUUUAAUGUUACAACCCAACAGGACAAACCAUUAACACUCCACCGUUAGCCCGACACAGGAGCGCCCACAAGAAAGAUUAAAAUCUGCAAAAGGAACUAGGCAAACCCAAGGCCCGACUGUUUACCAAAAACAUAGCCUUCAGCCAACCAAGUAUUGAAGGUGAUGCCUGCCCAGUGACAUCAUGUUUAACGGCCGCGGUAUCCUAACCGUGCGAAGGUAGCGCAAUCAAUUGUCCCAUAAAUCGAGACUUGUAUGAAUGGCUAAACGAGGUCUUGUAUGAAUGGCUAAACGAGGUCUUAGCUGUCUCUUGCAGAUAAUCGGUGAAAUUGAUCUCCCUGUGCAAAAGCAGGAAUAAACCCAUAAGACGAGAAGACCCUGUGGAACUUAAAAAUCAGCGGCCACCCCACCUAGAACCUAAGCCUACUAGGCAUACUAUUACUCCAAAAACAUUGGCCCGCAUUUUUCGGUUGGGGCGACCUUGGAGAAAAACGAACCCUCCAAAAAUAAGACCACACCUCUUAACCAAGAGCAACCCCUCAACGUACUAACAGUAACCCGACCCAAUAUAAUUGACCAAUGGACCAAGCUACCCCAGGGGUAACAGCGCAAUCUCCUUCAAGAGCCCAUAUCGACAAGGAGGUUUACGACCUCGAUGUUGGAUCAGGACAUCCUAAUGGUGCAGCCGCUAUUAAGGGUUCGUUUGUUCAACGAUUAACAGUCCUACGUGAUCUGAGUUCAGACCGGAGCAAUCCAGGUCGGUUUCUAUCUAUGACGAACUUUCCCCAGUACGAAAGGACCGGAAAAGUAAGGCCAAUACUAUAGGCACGCCUUUAUCCCCAAGUAAUGCAGCCCAACUAAAUUACUUAAAGGACACCCAUAUCCCUAGCCCUAGAAAAGGGCC